This 301-nucleotide ribosomal RNA is filed under the name uncultured bacterium. RNAcentral's name for it is "partial 16S ribosomal RNA". It matches the Rfam family "Bacterial small subunit ribosomal RNA", at positions 509 to 807 of the family's 1533-position model. The record is from RNAcentral.
CAGCAGCCGCGGUAAUACGUAGGGUGCGAGCGUUAAUCGGAAUUACUGGGCGUAAAGCGUGCGCAGGCGGUUGUGUAAGACAGAUGUGAAAUCCCCGGGCUUAACCUGGGAACUGCGCUUGUGACUGCACAGCUAGAGUAUGGCAGAGGGGGGUGGAAUUCCACGUGUAGCAGUGAAAUGCGUAGAGAUGUGGAGGAACACCGAUGGCGAAGGCAGCCCCCUGGGCCAAUACUGACGCUCAUGCACGAAAGCGUGGGGAGCAAACAGGAUUAGAUACCCGCGUAGUCCCUGUCUCUUAUAC